GCAGAAUUCGGUAAACUCCAGGUUGCUGUCCAUAGAGGACAAGUUGGCGGCUCUGCAGUCGAACAACUGUGCGGUAGAGACUAACUACAAGAAGAGAAGACGUGUGCAGAAUCCCAAGCUUAGGAAGCAGUAUGCCGUCUUCACAACUCGGAGACAAAUUGCAGGCGCUAUGAACCGGAGCGAGGCGGUGACCUCUUAUUUGCUCGGAGCCAUGUCUGCAAUUCCAGAUUGACACGAUGUUGAUAAAGACGACAUUGUCUCCUGGCGAAGAAGAUGGCGUUGUUGGCGUGGUCUCUGG
Fundulus heteroclitus (mummichog) is the source of this 298-nucleotide long non-coding RNA. RefSeq lists it as uncharacterized. Lineage: Eukaryota; Metazoa; Chordata; Actinopteri; Cyprinodontiformes; Fundulidae. The record is from RefSeq and is a predicted model, not a curated record. The transcript has 3 exons.